AGGUUUUAAGCCGGUGCAGGCUAACCGUGAUUUUGUCAAACAUCACUCUACAGCAGGUGGUACAAAUGGCAAGGCAGUCCGCGGUUGUAAAAUGAGACCCCGAUCUAGGGAGAGGGAUACAGAAAAAUGCCGCUCCAAACUGGGGCACAGAGCAUGGGGAGAAAACGUACAGGAGGACAGGCACAACAGCCAGAAGGAGAAUGUCAGAAGGUGGGGCUCUGGGAACCAGGGUGCUGAGUAAAAACCAUUGCCCCAUUCUAAAUACCAGAAAAGCAGGCCACAGAAGAGAGGCAGGUCCCAGCGUCCCUGGAGACCAGGAUGCAAGGUCCCAAGACUUUGAAGACAUGACUAGCUGGGUAGAAGGGAACAAUUGUGUAAUACAUUGGCUACCUGUUUUUCCUCCUGUCAUAUAAUACUGUUCUGAAAAUACUUCCUGGAUUGGUGAAUUCCCCCCACAUAAAUCUGACCAUGCUGGAGAGAUAUCACUUCUAGAUCUGGCAUAAGGUUUUCUACGAGAUUUAUAUGCCUAGGGAUAAGCAAAGGCUUGGAGCGGAUUUGACAGAGUCUGAAAAACGAUUUCCCCCUCAAUCAAAAUUGAUGCCUGUCUAUCAGCAAAUUCUCAGGAUGAGGAAGCCCCUGAACCAGAGUAUAAAGUUAAAGGAAAAGAAGUCCAGAGAGCUGGCUAUAUC
Molecule: long non-coding RNA, 689 nt
Organism: Caretta caretta (loggerhead turtle)
Lineage: Eukaryota; Metazoa; Chordata; Testudines; Cheloniidae
Source: RefSeq, a predicted model, not a curated record